RNAcentral lists this transfer RNA (76 nucleotides) under Chitinophaga eiseniae. RNAcentral's name for it is "tRNA_Ile_TAT". It matches the Rfam family "tRNA". From Rfam's summary of the family: Transfer RNA (tRNA) molecules are approximately 80 nucleotides in length. Their secondary structure includes four short double-helical elements and three loops (D, anti-codon, and T loops). Further hydrogen bonds mediate the characteristic L-shaped molecular structure. tRNAs have two regions of fundamental functional importance: the anti-codon, which is responsible for specific mRNA codon recognition, and the 3' end, to which the tRNAs corresponding amino acid is attached (by aminoacyl-tRNA synthetases). tRNAs cope with the degeneracy of the genetic code in two manners: having more than one tRNA (with a specific anti-codon) for a particular amino acid; and 'wobble' base-pairing, i.e. permitting non-standard base-pairing at the 3rd anti-codon position. Lineage: Bacteria; Pseudomonadati; Bacteroidota; Chitinophagia; Chitinophagales; Chitinophagaceae. The record is from RNAcentral.
CGGCCUGUAGCUCAACGGUGAGAGCGGCUGCCUUAUAUGCAGUGUGUUACUGGUUCAAAUCCAGUCUGGCCGACAA